RNAcentral lists this ribosomal RNA (253 nucleotides) under uncultured bacterium. RNAcentral's name for it is "partial 16S ribosomal RNA". It matches the Rfam family "Bacterial small subunit ribosomal RNA", at positions 524 to 776 of the family's 1533-position model. The record is from RNAcentral.
CACGUAGGGUGCGAGCGUUGUCCGGAAUUAUUGGGCGUAAAGAGCUCGUAGGCGGUUUGUCGCGUCUGCUGUGAAAACUCAGGGCUUAACCCUGAGCCUGCAGUGGGUACGGGCAGACUAGAGUGUGGUAGGGGAGAUCGGAAUUCCUGGUGUAGCGGUGGAAUGCGCAGGAUAUCAGGAGGAACACCGGUGGCGAAGGCGGUUCUCUGGGCAUUACCUGACGCUGAGGAGCGAAAGUGUGGGAGCGAACAGG